RNAcentral lists this long non-coding RNA (1096 nucleotides) under Ananas comosus (pineapple). Its description in RNAcentral is "long non-coding RNA (ACOM_LNC013535)". The record is from RNAcentral. Lineage: Eukaryota; Viridiplantae; Streptophyta; Magnoliopsida; Poales; Bromeliaceae.
UGUUUGGAUGAAGAUUUAUUGGGUUAGGAUGAACAUCAAUAAUAAGAUCAAUACUUCUGAUUUGAAAAUCGAAUCUUUUAUCAUUAUUAUUUGUGAUAUUUUUAUUUUUAGCUGUUCAUUUUGAGCCUAAUCGUUUACUAGACAAAUGAAGUCAAAAAAAUUAUAAAAUAUGAUUUAUAAAUAGUUCAAAAAUAACGGAGCUGAUCACCGAAUUGGAUGAUCCAUCAUGGCAAGUAACUUACAAUUACGGAAGGCCUCUGUACUUUAGAAAGCACAGGAGUCUAGCUCUCUCUCUCUAUAUAUAGUUGAGCAGGAAUAUUUUUAACAGUAUUUGUGUUUUUUUACUAUCGAUUUUUUAGCCGUUAGAUGCAAAUUUUUAUCAAUUUCAUUCUUUAGAUCAUACUAUUCAACUAAAAACCCACUCAACUUUAGUUGGAAAAACUAGUCAACCCUAGGAGAUCACUAUUAUCUUAAUUGUACAAUUUUUCAUCCAAGAGUUAAAAACUCGAUAGCAAAAAAAGCUAAAUACUAUUAUAGUAGCAGGACUGCUGUGUUCUCAGGAGCACAGAGGCCUCCGUGCUCCUAAGCUGUUUUCGAUGAUGAAAUUUUCGAAUCGACGAACGGCUCCGUUAAACUUGAUCUAGCGUAUUUGAAGUUUCUAGAAAAUAAUUUUUGCAAUUUUUCGAUAUCAUUUACCUAGUAAUCGAAACGAUUCAAAAUCAAUAAUUUUAACGGCUGAAAAUAAAAAUCCUAUAAAAAGUGGUGCUAUAGCACUAAAAUUUUCGAUCAAAACUAUUGAUCUUGUUGUAGACAGUAUAAAGAAUUUUGUAUCAAAAUUUCAUCUGAUUUGAAUAUUUCUAUAUCGUUAAACUUGAAAACGGCAGAUAUCAACCAUUAAAAAUUAUUGAUUUUUAAUCCUUUCGAUCACUAGGUAAAUGAUAUCGAAAAAUUGCAAAAAUUAUUUUCUAGAAACCUCAAAUACCCUAGAUCAAGUCUAACGGAGCCGAUCGUCAAUUCGAAAUUUUCAUCAUCGAAAACGGCUCAGGAGCACGGAGGAGGCCUCCGUGCUCCUAAGAGCACAGCAGCCCUGCUCCUA